CAAGUUCCACAGUUAGACACUAUUAUAGUUCCCAUAAGUGGAGGUGGCUUGAUAUCAGGUGUGGCUUUGGCUGCCAAGGCCAUCAACCCUGCAAUUCGAGUUUUAGCUGCUGAGCCUGAGGGAGCCAACGAUGCAGCUCAAUCCAAAGCAGCUGGGAGGAUAAUAACAUUGUCUGAGACCAACACUGUAGCAUGGUGGUGGUGAGUUUCUCAUGAGUUGCUUCAUUGGAGGGUUGAUGACAGAGCUUCACCAGGACUUGUACUUGCUUCGUUUUGUUUCUAUUGAAGAAGCCUCUACGCCAACUCUAAAAUUGCUCAAGGCUAUGGUGAUACAGGACUUUAUCAAGAAUUGUUCAGUUGUCAUUUUCCUUGAUUCUGGUAGUUCAUGAAAUUUCAUUGAUUUGGCACUAUUCAAGUGGUUAGGGUCCAGGAUUAUGAUUGUGUCCACACUGUUUUUACUCUUCCAUUGGGGAAUUGCAUUCUUGAUUUUGACCUUGGCUACCUUCUGGGCAUACGUGACCAAAGUGGUGGAUUUGAAGUUGAUAAUGGGCAUACUGGAAAAGAAGAAAAUU
Molecule: non-coding RNA, 571 nt
Organism: Prunus avium (sweet cherry)
Lineage: Eukaryota; Viridiplantae; Streptophyta; Magnoliopsida; Rosales; Rosaceae
Source: RefSeq, a predicted model, not a curated record